UUUCGGGUGCUUUUGUUUUGUUUUUUUUUGCAAUGCACUGGACAAUAACCUAGCCUGAUUUAUUGACGUUGUUUGCACCGUUUGAAUUUUUGUAACAAGGGCUAAAUUGGACUUUUGAAAAUGGAGCCUUUUGUUCACUUUAAGUUUUAAGGCAUCUAAAUUUAUGGACGGAAUGCUCUAUUGCGUCAUUGCUAUAAGUUGUGUAUUUGUGUGUACAGUACAUUUUCUUGUCUUUUUUGACAACUGACAUCCACUUUUGGCAUUGUUAUACACUUUGUUUUAUGUGCCAAGCCAAAAACACUCAAACAAGCCUUUAUUUCUCCAUUGCAAACACUUGAGUAUAAAAGGUCUUUGCUAUGCUGAUAUUAUCACCACCAACAUUUAAAACCACUGUGCAUACUUUUACAUCAUUAACAUGUUUUCUUGAGUUUUUUUUUUUAUUGGCUCUCUGCUUAAGAAGCCUUUUUGUAGAGAUUUAAAUGUAAAUAUGUUGUUCUGCAAACUGAGCUGACGAUCAAGUCCAGUUUUUGUGAUUGAAAAUAUCUUAAUAAAAACGAUGUAAAAAAU
Molecule: long non-coding RNA, 567 nt
Organism: Syngnathus acus (greater pipefish)
Lineage: Eukaryota; Metazoa; Chordata; Actinopteri; Syngnathiformes; Syngnathidae
Exons: 3
Source: RefSeq, a predicted model, not a curated record